UAAGCACCGCUACUGUGCCGCAUCGGUCACGUAUCGAAUUACUGGCGUAAGCGUGCGAGGCGGUGAGCAAUGUGAACCCGGUACCUGGACGUCUCCUGAGUGGGCGAGGGGAUGAUUCCGUGUGAGGAAAUGCGUAUAUGAGGACACCAUGGCGAAGGCAAUCCCUGGGGCUGACGCUCAUGCACAAAGCGGGGGAGCAAACAGGAUUAACACCCUGGUAGUCCCGCCCUAACUGUCAACUGGUUGUGGUCUGUAACGUAACGCGUGAAGUGACGCCUGGGGGUACGGCGUAAGGUUAAAACUCAAAGGCACAAGUUUAUCGCGGAGAACUUACCACUCUAUACGGGGGAUGGAGGUCUGCAUGGCUUUCAGCUCGUGUCGUGAGAUGUGGGUUAAGUCCCCAACGACGCACCCUCGCAUUAGUUGCACGGACUCUAGGGGACUGCCGGU
This 450-nucleotide ribosomal RNA is filed under the name uncultured bacterium. RNAcentral's name for it is "partial 16S ribosomal RNA". It matches the Rfam family "Bacterial small subunit ribosomal RNA", at positions 512 to 1156 of the family's 1533-position model. The record is from RNAcentral.